CCUACGGGAGGCAGCAGUGGGGGAUAUUGCACAAUGGGCGCAAGCCUGAUGCAGCGACGCCGCGUGAGCGAAGAAGUAUUUCGGUGUGUAAAGCUCUAUCAGCCGGGAAGAAAAUGACGGUACCUGACUAAGAAGCUCCGGCGAAAUACGUGCCAGCAGCCGCGGUAAUACGUAUGGAGCAAGCGUUAUCCGGGUUUACUGGGUGUAAAGGGAGCGUAGGCGGGCCUGUAGGUCUGAUGGGAAAAUUUGGGGCUCAACCCCAAACGUGGAGUUGAAACUGGUGGGCUUGAGUGCGCGAGAGGCAGGCGGAAUGCGUGGUGUAGCGGUGAAAGGCGUAGAUAUCAGGAGGAACCCCAGUGGCGAAGGCAGCAUGCCGGA
Molecule: ribosomal RNA, 378 nt
Filed under: uncultured bacterium
Lineage: Bacteria
Description: partial 16S ribosomal RNA
Rfam family: Bacterial small subunit ribosomal RNA
Source: RNAcentral